This 647-nucleotide long non-coding RNA is filed under the name Capsicum annuum. RNAcentral's name for it is "long non-coding RNA (CANN_LNC002240)". Lineage: Eukaryota; Viridiplantae; Streptophyta; Magnoliopsida; Solanales; Solanaceae. The record is from RNAcentral.
CAUUUUCAAAUUCCAACUCCCUCUGGCUCACAUCCCCAUAAGAAUUUUGAUGACUUUGAGUAGUCUUAAGUCUUUCUCUAAUCACCUCCACCUUCUCCAUGGCUUGGUGAACCAAGUUGAUAUAAAAUCAACCUAGUCUCACCUACCCCGAACCGUCCAAUAAGAGACCUGGACCUUCUACCAUAAAAAGGACUCAAAAGGGGCCAUUUGGAUGCUAGAAUGAUAACUAUUAUUGUGAGAAAAUUUGAUAAGAGGCAAAUGGUCAACCCAACUACCUUUAAAAUUCAUUAAACUGGAAAUUCUAUCUCUUGCAAAGUACCACCCGACCUCAAAUGUUCAACCUUAACUUAUUGAUAAACCAUACAAUUAGUAAUAAAGUUUGCCAUAUCCCUCUUCAUAUUAUUCCACCAGUAGAUUUCCUUCAAAUCAUGAUAUAUUUUGAUCGAACCCACAUGAAUUGUAUAUUUUUACUUGUGAGCUUCGGUAAAAAUUCUUUCCCGCAGCCUAUAUACAUUAGGAAUACACAACUUUCUUUGAUACUCAAGAUGCCAUCUCCCCCAAUCUCAAAAGCCAUAAUCUUUUGCUGACCCACAUCAACUUUGAUUUGCACGAGCAUGAGAUCCAAUACCUGUUUCUCUAUGAACUCA